RNAcentral lists this transfer RNA (71 nucleotides) under Pseudomonadota bacterium. RNAcentral describes it as "tRNA-Gln". It matches the Rfam family "tRNA". Rfam says of the family: Transfer RNA (tRNA) molecules are approximately 80 nucleotides in length. Their secondary structure includes four short double-helical elements and three loops (D, anti-codon, and T loops). Further hydrogen bonds mediate the characteristic L-shaped molecular structure. tRNAs have two regions of fundamental functional importance: the anti-codon, which is responsible for specific mRNA codon recognition, and the 3' end, to which the tRNAs corresponding amino acid is attached (by aminoacyl-tRNA synthetases). tRNAs cope with the degeneracy of the genetic code in two manners: having more than one tRNA (with a specific anti-codon) for a particular amino acid; and 'wobble' base-pairing, i.e. permitting non-standard base-pairing at the 3rd anti-codon position. The record is from RNAcentral. RNAcentral also lists the same sequence under 2 other names. Lineage: Bacteria; Pseudomonadati; Pseudomonadota.
UGCCGGAUCGUCUAAUGGUAGGACAGCGGCCUUUGGAGCCGUCAGUCAUGGUUCGAAUCCAUGUCCGGCAG